GAUGAACGCUAGCUACAGGCUUAACACAUGCAAGUCGAGGGGUAGCAGGGUAGCAAUACCGCUGACGACCGGCGCACGGGUGAGUAACACGUAUCCAACCUUCCCAUAACUCGGGGAUAGCCUUUCGAAAGAAAGAUUAAUAUCCGAUAGUACUUUUUCAAGGCAUCUUGAGAAAGUUAAAGAUUUAUUGGUUAUGGAUGGGGAUGCGUUCCAUUAGAUAGUUGGUGAGGUAACGGCUCACCAAGUCUUCGAUGGAUAGGGGUUCUGAGAGGAAGGGCCCCCACAGUGGUACUGAGACACGGACCAAACUCCUACGGGAGGCAGCAGUGAGGAAUAUUGGUCAAUGGGCGAGAGCCUGAACCAGCCAAGUAGCGUGAAGGAUGAAGGUCUUAUGGAUUGUAAACUUCUUUUAUAGUAGAAUAAAGUGAUCCACGUGUGGAUUUUUGUAUGUAUACUAUGAAUAAGGAUCGGCUAACUCCGUGCCAGCCGCCGCGGUAA
RNAcentral lists this ribosomal RNA (498 nucleotides) under uncultured bacterium. RNAcentral's name for it is "partial 16S ribosomal RNA". It matches the Rfam family "Bacterial small subunit ribosomal RNA", at positions 28 to 523 of the family's 1533-position model. The record is from RNAcentral.